CCACAUGCAUUUUUGACCCAACAAAAACUGUUAUAUAGGACACCCGGAUUAUUCCGGAUGGUAUUCCGUAAAGGUCUGGGGGACCCUUUGAAGCCAAUAUUGAGCAUUGAUGGGAUUGUUGUUCAUAUUCUGUUAUAGAAGACCCCCGGAUUGUUUCGGAUGGUAUUCCGUAAAGGUCUGGAGGACCAUUUGGAGCCCAUAUUGAGCAUUGAUGGAAUUGUUAUUCAUAUUCUGUUAUAGAAGAACCCCCGGAUUGUUUCGGAUGGUAUUCCAUAAAGGUCUGGAGGACCAUUUGGAGCCCAUAUUGAGCAUUGAUGGAAUUGUUAUUCAUAUUCUGUUAUAGAAGAACCCCCGGAUUGUUUCGGAUGGUAUACCGUAAAGGUCUGGAGGACCAUUUGGAGCCCAUAUUGAGCAUUGAUGGAAUUGUUAUUCAUAUUUUGCUAUAGAAGAACCCCCGGUUUGUUUCGGAUGGUAGUCCGUAAAGGCCUGGAGGGCCAUUUGGAACCAAGGCUAGGCAUUCGUGGAAAUGUUAUUCCUCUUAAAAUUAUGUUUGUCGAAAAUUCCCUUGUAGGGUUGCAGGACAUGUUCAUCAGUCGUGGACCUUGGGAUCAUCGAGUGUUUCAGCCAUUAUCACGAGACACUCUCCCCCAAGGGAGGCCCACCCGAGGUCGAUCAACUCUCGGGUCAUGUUCCAUACCCCCUCAAGAACCUUUUCUUUGUAUAGAUAAAAACUCGGGUUAAGGUUAGGGAAUAAGGCUAAAGGUUAAGGUUAGGAUUAAGAUUAGGAUUAAGAUUAGGGUUAGCUGUCGGGAUAAACACUCGGGUUAAGGUUAGGGAAUAAGGCUAAAGGUUAAGGUUAGGAUUUAGAUCAGUGGUAGGGAUAGCCACUCGGGUUAAGGUCAGGGAAUAGGGCUAAAGGUUAAGGUUAGGAUUAAGAUUAGGGUUAACUGUCGGGAUAAACACUCGGGUUAAGGUUAGAGAAUAAGGCUAAAAGUUAAGGUUAGGAUU
This is a long non-coding RNA of Gadus macrocephalus (Pacific cod), 1008 nucleotides long. RefSeq lists it as uncharacterized. NCBI's taxonomy places the organism in Eukaryota, Metazoa, Chordata, Actinopteri, Gadiformes, Gadidae. The transcript has 3 exons. The record is from RefSeq and is a predicted model, not a curated record.